RNAcentral lists this ribosomal RNA (593 nucleotides) under uncultured deep-sea bacterium. Its description in RNAcentral is "bacterial SSU rRNA". It matches the Rfam family "Bacterial small subunit ribosomal RNA", at positions 93 to 679 of the family's 1533-position model. The record is from RNAcentral.
GAGUGGCGGACGGGUGAGUAAUACUUAGGAAUCUGCCCAGUAGUGGGGGACAACUCGAGGAAACUCGAGCUAAUACCGCAUACGCCCCAAGGGGGAAAGCGGAGGAUCUUUCGGGACUUCGCGCUAUUGGAUGAGCCUAAGUCGGAUUAGCUUGUUGGUGAAGUAAAAGCUCACCAAGGCGACGAUCCGUAGCUGGUCUGAGAGGACGAUCAGCCACACUGGGACUGAGACACGGCCCAGACUCCUACGGGAGGCAGCAGUGGGGAAUAUUGGACAAUGGGGGAAACCCUGAUCCAGCAAUGCCGCGUGUGUGAAGAAGGGCUGGGGGUUGUAAAGCACUUUCAGUAGAGAAGAAAAGCCUAGGGUUAAUACGCCUGGGUCUUGACGUUACCUACAGAAGAAGCUUCGGCUAACUCCGUGCCAGCAGCCGCGGUAAUACGGAGGGAGCGAGCGUUAAUCGGAAUUACUGGGCGUAAAGCGCGCGUAGGCGGCUUUGUAAGUCGGAUGUGAAAGCCCUGGGCUCCACCUGGGAAUGGCAUUCGAUACUGCAUAACUAGAGUAUGGUAGAGGGAAGUGGAAUUUCCCGGUGUGGC